This 253-nucleotide ribosomal RNA is filed under the name uncultured bacterium. RNAcentral describes it as "partial 16S ribosomal RNA". It matches the Rfam family "Bacterial small subunit ribosomal RNA", at positions 524 to 776 of the family's 1533-position model. The record is from RNAcentral.
UACGAAGGGGGCAAGCGUUGUUCGGAAUUACUGGGCGUAAAGGGCGCGCAGGCGGCCCAUCAAGUCAGGCGUGAAAGCCCCGGGCUCAACCCGGGAGGGGCGCUUGAGACUGGCGGGCUGGAGUUCGGGAGAGGAUGGUGGAAUUCCCAGUGUAGAGGUGAAAUUCGUAGAUAUUGGGAAGAACACCGGUGGCGAAGGCGGCCAUCUGGACCGAAACUGACGCUGAGGCGCGAAAGCGUGGGGAGCAAACAGG